AGUAAAAUCGUUGAAAUUGUUGCUUGUUGCGUUUAUAUUUUUGUUCAGUGUAUAUAAACACUUCCUAAAGUGUUUGCAUUCCUCUUUAACCCAGUGUGUCACUAGUGUUUAUGUUAAUGUAAGCUAUAGGGCUCUAUUUUAAGAACCUAACUCUAUGGUAAACUUUAGUGCUGGCGGUAGCGCUAUAAAAUCGGGGGGCGGGGGUGUCAAGUUUUAGGUGUGUUGAGGCUUGACCCCUCACUGGCCAAUCAGAACAUGCUCAAUUGCUAAAUAUGUGGUUGCUUCAAGUUGUGUAUUUACGGUAUUUAAUGAAUUGCGUUGUCAUCAACUCCUAUUGGAAUGUUAGUCCGUUAUAACCGACAGAAACUAAAUAACAACAGUAAACAGAUGUAGAGUAUAUAAACCUACAACAUCUUUGCUAAAUAUUUUUAACAUGUUUGCAGUGCACAUUGUAAGAAGCCUAAAUGCGUGGCUUCAAUAUGGAAAUAUAUUGCUAAACAUACCAUUCGCACUAUUGAUAAAGCUAAGAAUGAGAGUGAAUAAUACACUUCUAAUCAAAACGUAACAACAAUUUGUUUUAAAUAGGCUAUGUUUAAAUACAGUUACAAGCACCAUACUUGCUCUCAGUGGGCGUAUAAUAUUAAGGUAGACUAUAUCAAGGCUUUUGACUCUCAGUAUAAUAUUAAGGUGGACUAUAUCAAGGCUUUUGACUCUCAGUAUAAUAUUAAGGUGGACUAAGUCAAGGCUUUUGACUCUCAGUAUAAUAUUAAGGUGGACUAUGUCAAGGCUUUUGACUCUCAGUAUAAUAUUAAGGUGGACUAUAUCAAGGCUUUUUGUCUCUCAGUAUAAUAUUAAUGUGGACUAUAUCAAGGCUUUUUGUCUCCCAGUAUAAUAUUAAUGUGGACUAUAUCAAGGCUUUUUGUCUCCCAGUAUAAUAUUAAGGUGGACUAUAUCAAGGCUUUUUGUCUCCCAGUAUAAUAUUAAGGUGGACUAUAUCAAGGCUUUUGUGCACAACCAAAAUAAUAGCGGGAGCUGUCUAAAAUAAGUGGUUAAAUAUGUGUCCAGAAAAACCUCAAUAUUUCCAAAGCUUUCUUAUAUCUCCUCGAUAAGGGACAGAUACUGUCUUUUUCCUCAUUAAUGAAUGUGUUAUUCAAAGCGUUUCUAUUGGCUAUCGUAGUAAAGGUUGUAUUCAAUAUUUCAUUUUUUACCUGAAGGUGUCCUAAAAUUCAAAAUCAAAUACCUAAAUGAUCCAUAGUAUGA
RNAcentral lists this long non-coding RNA (1260 nucleotides) under Salmo salar (Atlantic salmon). Its description in RNAcentral is "lncRNA (ENSSSAG00000095202.1)". Lineage: Eukaryota; Metazoa; Chordata; Actinopteri; Salmoniformes; Salmonidae. The record is from RNAcentral.